UCGUGGUAUAAUGGUUAGCAGUUUAGGCUCACAACCUAAUGAUCUCGGGUUAGAAUCCUGGACAAGGAAGAA
Non-coding RNA from Halocaridina rubra (Hawaiian volcano shrimp), 72 nucleotides. Lineage: Eukaryota; Metazoa; Arthropoda; Malacostraca; Decapoda; Atyidae. The record is from the annotation of a GenBank genome assembly.